UGCCUUUUAACAAUCGCAAAGGCUCCGUUUCACUUGGUUUCAUGUCCUGUCCAUCGCCCCGUUUUCAGGAGACAGACGAGGUGUUGAUUUUAAUUAAGGCUUUUCUUUCUAUCGGUGUUUCAACAAUUCCAGGCAGAGAAACUCAGCAGCCUGGAGAGUAUAACUGGGUGAGUGCUGCAGGCUACUUCGGCAAGCAAUAAAAUCACACGGGGAUCUGGACUCACUAAGGAGACGAAUCAAUCUGUACUGCUGCAGUGGUCAGCUGUGUAGGGACUGUGCUGGGCCAGGCCCUGCUGUGAAACCAACCCGGAGGAGGCAGAGAGAUCAGAAACAUUUUAACCAGGACUGCAGUGUGGAAAAGGGACCAAUUAGAGCCAUUCCUUAAAACCGGUGAAAGGUUUUACCUCGGCAGCCCUGGCAAUGUAAGUCCUUUACCCACAGAACAGAUCCACCAGCGGGAUUCUUCUGCACCUAUCCCAGCUCUGGUCCCAUGGGCAGUUCAGUCUCCGGGCUCCUUUGAACCUGGGACCCUGUGCCAAGGCUGCCUGAAGUGGCACUUCUGUGAGGCAGGUGAGUGCCUGGUCUCUGGACACUCCACGGAGAGCACUGAUUUCGCAUGGGUCACCAGCUGAACACUGUUUACACCAGCCUGGUUUGGAUUCAAACCAGCAGCCUGAAGAGGCUCUGUAGCCCCCUUACUUAUCACCUGAGCUCUCUUGUCCACCUUGCUCUCCUCCCCGCUGGGUUUCCUUUC
This 754-nucleotide long non-coding RNA is filed under the name Chrysemys picta bellii (western painted turtle). RNAcentral describes it as "lncRNA (ENSCPBG00000027705.1)". Lineage: Eukaryota; Metazoa; Chordata; Testudines; Emydidae. The record is from RNAcentral.